This 467-nucleotide ribosomal RNA is filed under the name uncultured bacterium. RNAcentral describes it as "bacterial SSU rRNA". It matches the Rfam family "Bacterial small subunit ribosomal RNA", at positions 29 to 506 of the family's 1533-position model. The record is from RNAcentral.
AUGAACGUUGGCGGCGUGGAUUAGGCAUGCAAGUCGAGCGAUAAACCCCAGCAAUGGGGUGGAAAGCGGCGAAAGGGAGAGUAACGCGUGGAUUAUCUACCCUCGGGUCUGGGAUAGCCGCGGGAAACUGCGGGUAAUACCAGAUAAUAUCUCCGGAUCAAAGGUGUGAUUCCGCCGGAGGAUGAGUCCGCGUCCUAUCAGCUUGUUGGUGGGGUAAUGGCCUACCAAGGCGAUGACGGGUACUGGGUGUGAGAGCAUGACCCAGCUCACUGGGACUGAGACACUGCCCAGACACCUACGGGUGGCUGCAGUCGAGGAUCUUCGGCAAUGGGCGCAAGCCUGACCGAGCGACGCCGCGUGCGGGAUGAAGGCUUUCGGGUUGUAAACCGCUGUCAGAGGGGAGGAAAUUCGUGGGGGUUCUCCCCUGCGAUUGACCUAUCUUCAGAGGAAGGACGGGCUAAGUACGU